Long non-coding RNA from Perca flavescens (yellow perch), 843 nucleotides. RefSeq lists it as uncharacterized. The transcript is spliced from 4 exons. The record is from RefSeq and is a predicted model, not a curated record. NCBI's taxonomy places the organism in Eukaryota, Metazoa, Chordata, Actinopteri, Perciformes, Percidae.
GCAAUGCUUUCCCUGAAGGAUGUCAAAGUGGAGACACUGGAGCGUCCCAUCAAUAGCUGGACUCAACAAACACCUCCUGCUGAGGAACUGGCCCUCUCCAGCAAUCAGGGUCGCCCCCUGAUAGAAGGAGUGGAAGGGGGCAUUUGUUCAGACUCUGGUGGCAGUAGCUGAAACCAAGGCAUAUGUACAGGUGACAGGAGAUACAAUGGCGUUGCUGCACCGCCCACUGUUGUCCCACUGUGCCAUACAGAGGUAUCAGCGAAACUAAUUGUCAUACACCAGUAUGUUUGCCAUAUGUGGUUGCUGAACAUGGAUCAAAUAGGCCAUUUAUUUUCUCAAGUGGAGGUCCUAGAUGAUCAGGACACUGUGUCUGCCUGCUCAGAGAGCACUUUGGGGCAGGAAGAGGAACUUCUUCCUCACCCCGAGACUGGGGCCUCCACUUCAAGGCCAAGACAAAGACAUGUGGUAAGCAAUGAACCAUGGAACACAGCAGUCAAGUGGAUACCUGCAACUUUCUACAAGAGUGACUUGCAAAGAAACAAUGUUGUUUAUUUGCUUCAGGUUGGAGCAGACAAUGGGAGGGCCCUAUAUAAGAGAAUCCUGGAGCAUAACAUUGAGUACAAAAGGCUUUUAAUUAAAAAAAACAAGGCUGGAGAUUGAAAAACUUGAAAAGAAGGUAGUACGUGACUGAAUGUAUGAACAAAUGACACUAAACUGUUACACUGACAUUUUUCUAUGUUCCUAGGAAAGAGAGAGCACAUGAGUAUGCAUUUUCUCAACUUUUUGGUAUUUUUCUACAUUUUUGUGGCUUUUCUCAAAUAUUUUUUGUUGUGCCUUUGAAAC